RNAcentral lists this ribosomal RNA (482 nucleotides) under uncultured bacterium. Its description in RNAcentral is "partial 16S ribosomal RNA". It matches the Rfam family "Bacterial small subunit ribosomal RNA", at positions 30 to 507 of the family's 1533-position model. The record is from RNAcentral.
AUUGAACGCUGGCGGCAUGCCUUACACAUGCAAGUCGAACGGUAACGGGCCUUCGGGUGCCGACGAGUGGCGAACGGGUGAGUAAUACAUCGGAACGUGCCCGAUCGUGGGGGAUAACGAGGCGAAAGCUUUGCUAAUACCGCAUACGAUCUACGGAUGAAAGCAGGGGACCGCAAGGCCUUGCGCGGACGGAGCGACCGAUGGCAGAUUAGGUAGUUGGUGGGAUAAAAGCUUACCAAGCCGACGAUCUGUAGCUGGUCUGAGAGGAUGAUCAGCCACACUGGGACUGAGACACGGCCCAGACUCCUACGGGAGGCAGCAGUGGGGAAUUUUGGACAAUGGGCGCAAGCCUGAUCCAGCCAUGCCGCGUGCAGGAUGAAGGCCUUCGGGUUGUAAACUGCUUUUGUACGGAACGAAAAGCCUUCUUUUAAUACAGGAGGGUCAUGACGGUACCGUAAGAAUAAGCACCGGCUAACUACGUG